UAAGGUUCAAGAAGUAAAUAAUAUGCAAAUGAAAACCAUACAUUACAUAAAUAAGUCAUUCAUGUCUUAGUAGAAUACAUAUUUGAGUGCUUCAUUGCCUAUUGAGUUACAACAACUAUUAAUAGCCAUAUUAGGAUCCAUUACUUUUUAAGUCAAAAGAAUAAUAGAUCAUAAUAUAAUUCAAAACACAUUGUCUAAGCAAUGAAGUCAGGCACCAAGGCAAUGAACAAAAGAUUUAACAAAAGUCCAGAAUGAGGGCAUAUCAGUCUUGCUUAGGCUUAGCUUUCUUUGCUGGGCUGUCUUUGAUAUUGCCAGCUUUUGUUGCACGUUUAGGAGGAGUGUCUGUCAGGAAAGCUUCAUUUUGAGAUGGACUUUCUGGAAACUCAAGGCUUCUUUUUGUACGUACAGAAAAUGAAGACCAUGAGGAGAACAGCAAGCAGACCUGGAUGUAUUGGAAGAAAGUAAGGAAGAAACCACAGUUCUAGGGGUAAAGGAUUGUUGCCACUCCAGUCAUAAGCCCCAAGUACCUAAAUUAGAAAGAUAAAAACACCUUACCACCAAACACUUCAACUAACUAUUUUUAGUAAUUCAAUAUACUUGUUUCGUGUUCAAUUAGCCAAUUGGUGAAAACAUAUAAGUAAUUCUAGUGAAUUUUGUCCAAAAAGUGAGAUUACUUCGAAAUUCUUUUUCAUAUUAUUCCUAAAAAAUUCAUUUUAAUAAACUUUUUAUCUUUUUAAACAAAUAUCGUGUCACAAAAACUGUGCUAAUGAAAGACUUAUGUCAUUGAAUACCAAAAACGUGGACUACCACAUGCACACUUCUUGCUAAUUUUAAAGUCAAAAUUCAAGAUGUAUACCCCUGAAGAAUAUGAUAAAAUUGUCUGUGCUGAGAUACCAAAUAAAGAGAAGAAUGAACAUCUAUAUAAUUUGGUCAUUAAACAUAUGCUUCAUGGACCAUGUGGUUCACUUGAUCCAACAAGUGUAUGCAUGAGAAAAAAUGGAACUUGCAAGCACUACUUUAAUAACCCAAACUAUAAUAACACUAAAUUAUCUAAUUUUUCAAUACAUAAACAGCUAACAACAUCAUGCAGCAUUUGAAAUUAAAAAAGAGGGAAAAAUAAACAUAAGCUAAUCCGAAAAAUAACCAUCAUAGCAUAACAUCAAACACAUGGAGGUCGUUAAUUAACGGAAGGCAAUAGACAGAUGCAACAACAAUGAAAUUUAAAAAUUGCAGUUCAAAAUAGAAGGAGAGAAAAUAGAAACAUACCUAUAUUUUCUUUGCUCGGCUGAAUGUUGGCAAAAGUCGGGCAACAUUUGAAAUCAAUAAAAACAAAGAAAAAAAGUAAACAUAAGUUAAUCGAUAAAUUACCAUCAUAAUCACUCUUUUAUGCAUAAUAUGAAACACAUGACAGUGUCUAAUUAACGGAAGUCAAUGAUAAACAGGAGGGAAGAACAUUCAAACUAAAAAACUUGCAACUCAAAAAUAGGAAGAGAGAAAAUAGAAACAUACCUAGAUUUUGUUUGCUCCUCUUCUGAAUACCGGCAAAAGUGGGAAACAAAGGUAUAUAUAAGGCUGGAAAUAGUAAGUUCUCAAAGCUGUACAUGGAUGAUAACUCGGUACAGUAGCCAUACCUAAAAUAAGCUGUUUUUUGGGAGAAAAGAAGAAUUCACGUGGAUGAGGAGGAUUUUUUGGAAGUGAAUCGAAAGGAAGUACAAUUAGUUGCUGGAGCAAUUGGCAGAAAACUGAAAAUUUUGCAGGCUCGCAGAUUUUGGGGAAAAGAAAUUUCAGUGGCCUAAUUUUUGGGGUAAAACAAAAAUUCACGUGCGUGCGGAGGAAUUUGUGGAUUGCAAUCAAAAGGAAGGACGAUUAGUUGUUGAAGGAAUUGGUUGAAAAUUGAAGAUUUUGCAGGCUCAUAUAGCUGGCUACUAAUCGGCGGAAAGGAAGAGGCUACGCGACGCAAAGAA
This 1964-nucleotide long non-coding RNA is filed under the name Coffea arabica (coffee). RNAcentral describes it as "long non-coding RNA (CARA_LNC005528)". Lineage: Eukaryota; Viridiplantae; Streptophyta; Magnoliopsida; Gentianales; Rubiaceae. The record is from RNAcentral.